Molecule: ribosomal RNA, 479 nt
Filed under: uncultured bacterium
Lineage: Bacteria
Description: partial 16S ribosomal RNA
Rfam family: Bacterial small subunit ribosomal RNA (bases 54-479)
Source: RNAcentral
GGGGGGGGGGGGGGGGGGGGGGGGGGGGGGGGGGGGGGGGGGGGGGGGGGGGAGCGGGCGCGUGGGGGGGGAGGGAGAGGGGGUUGGCGGGGGGCGGGGGAGUAACACGGGAGGAACGUGCGUUUGACACGGGGAUGGCUCGGGACACCGGGGUGAAUACCCUAUGUCACGGUUCCUUCGCAUGGGUGCCAUGUUAAAACUCCGGGGGUGAAAGAUGGUCUCGCGGCUGAGUAUCUGGUGUGUGGGGUUACGGCCAAUCAAGUCGAUGAUCAGUAACCGGCCUGAGAGGGUGAACGGUCACAUUGGAACUGCGACACGGUCCAAACUCCUACGGGAGGCAGCCGUGGGGAAUAUUGCACAAUGGAGGAAACUCUGAUGCAGCGACGCCGCGUGAGAGAUGAAGGCUUUCGAGUCGUAAAGCUCUGUCCUAUGGGAAGAUAAUGACGGUACCAUAGGAGGAAGCCCCGGCUAACUACGUG